UACAGAGGUGGCAAGCGUUGUUCGGAAUUACUGGGCGUAAAGGGCGCGUAGGCGGCCUUCUUAGUCGGACGUGAAAUCCCCAGGCUUAACUUGGGAACUGCGUCCGAUACUGGGAGGCUUGAGUGCGGGAGAGGGAUGCAGAAUUCCAGGUGUAGCGGUGAAAUGCGUAGAUAUCUGGAGGAAUACCGGUGGCGAAGGCGGCAUCCUGGACCGAGAUUGACGCUGAGGAGCGAAAGCUAGGGGAGCAAACGGG
Molecule: ribosomal RNA, 253 nt
Filed under: uncultured bacterium
Lineage: Bacteria
Description: partial 16S ribosomal RNA
Rfam family: Bacterial small subunit ribosomal RNA
Source: RNAcentral